AGCCUAUUGAAUUUUUAGUAGGUGUCUUCUGCCCGGUGAUUAAUUUAACGGCCGCGGUAUUUUAACCGUGCAAAGGUAGCGUAAUCAUUUGUCAUUUAAUUGAUGACUUGAAUGAAUGAGUGUACAUGGAAUAUAUUGUCUCUUUUUAUUAAAUUUAAUUUUCUUUGUAGAUGAUGAAGUCUGCAUAUAGAUAGAGGACGAGAAGACCCUGUUGAGCUUUAUAUUUUUAAUAUAUUUUUAUAUGUUUAUUGUAUUUGGUUGGGGCAAUCUAAGGGGAUAUAAAUUCUCUUUUUAUUUAGUAUUAUGAUCCAGUAUUUAUUGAUAGAGAGAAUUAGUUACCACAGGGAUAACAGCGUAAUUUCAUUAGAGAGUUCUUAUUGAUAAUGGAGAUUGCGACCUCGAUGUUGGACUAAAGUUAACCUUAAGGUGUAGAAGUCUUUUUGGUUGGUCUGUUCGACCUUUAAUUCUUU
Molecule: ribosomal RNA, 470 nt
Filed under: Tubulanidae sp. Vema4
Lineage: Eukaryota; Metazoa; Nemertea; Palaeonemertea; Tubulaniformes; Tubulanidae
Description: partial 16S ribosomal RNA
Rfam family: Bacterial large subunit ribosomal RNA
Source: RNAcentral